AGUUAAGUAUGUAACUAAUUUUAUUUAAUAGACUAUUAGUUUUAUUAUUAACAUAGAGCAUAUUUUAAUACAUAACCGACGUUUAUAAUUACUGAGAGGCACAAACAUACUUGUCUCGAAAAAUGCUCUCAUAUCGGUGGCCAAAAGUAAUUUAAACCUAACUUUACAUCGGCGGGUCCGACAGCGUCCCCACCCCAAUAUUAUUUCCCUCGUUAGUGUGCGCUAGCGCGCAGUGAAGACGGACGCGUGUCAAGUCGCUGCAUUUUCCCGCCAAUAACAUCCUGUGUAAUUUCGUGCGGUGCGGUCGCGGCGCCAGCGCCGGAGCGAUGUUGAUGUGGCUGCGGUUAUUAUAAAAACUUACUAUAUAAUACUAAUAAUGAUUUAUUAGUAUUGGGUUAUUGGUAAAACACUAACAACCUCUCAGGACUAUAUUAGUGACACCAUAAACAACAACUUUUGUUUUAUGACUUUUUACAAAACGUUAUUAUGAUGUUGUUAUGAUUUUUUAUUUAUCUUUGUGCUUCAUUUUAAUAAAGACAUUGGUAAUACAAA
Long non-coding RNA from Spodoptera frugiperda (fall armyworm), 552 nucleotides. RefSeq lists it as uncharacterized. The transcript is spliced from 2 exons. NCBI's taxonomy places the organism in Eukaryota, Metazoa, Arthropoda, Insecta, Lepidoptera, Noctuidae. The record is from RefSeq and is a predicted model, not a curated record.